AUUGAACGCUGGCGGCAGGCUUAACACAUGCAAGUCGAGCGGGGUGAUGGUGCUUGCACUAUCACUUAGCGGCGGACGGGUGAGUAAUGCUUAGGAAUCUGCCUAUUAGUGGGGGACAACAUCUCGAAAGGGAUGCUAAUACCGCAUACGUCCUACGGGAGAAAGCAGGGGAUCACUUGUGACCUUGCGCUAAUAGAUGAGCCUAAGUCGGAUUAGCCAGUUGGUGGGGUAAAGGCCUACCAAGGCGACGAUCUGUAGCGGGUCUGAGAGGAUGAUCCGCCAAACUGGGACUGAGACACGGCCCAGACUCCUACGGGAGGCAGCAGUGGGGAAUAUUGGACAAUGGGGUGAACCCUGAUCCAGCCAUGCCGCGUGUGUGAAGAAGGCCUUAUGGUUGUAAAGCACUUUAAGCGAGGAGGAGGCUCUUUUGGUUAAUACCCAAGAUGAGUGGACGUUACUCGCAGAAUAAGCACCGGCUAACUCUGUGCCAGCAGCCGCCGUAA
This 503-nucleotide ribosomal RNA is filed under the name uncultured bacterium. RNAcentral's name for it is "partial 16S ribosomal RNA". It matches the Rfam family "Bacterial small subunit ribosomal RNA", at positions 30 to 523 of the family's 1533-position model. The record is from RNAcentral.